Molecule: ribosomal RNA, 253 nt
Filed under: uncultured bacterium
Lineage: Bacteria
Description: partial 16S ribosomal RNA
Rfam family: Bacterial small subunit ribosomal RNA
Source: RNAcentral
UACGAAGGGGGCUAGCGUUGUUCGGAAUCACUGGGCGUAAAGGGCGCGUAGGCGGCCGAUCAAGUCGGGGGUGAAAGCCUGUGGCUCAACCACAGAAUUGCCUUCGAUACUGUUUGGCUUGAGACCGGAAGAGGUAAGUGGAACUGCGAGUGUAGAGGUGAAAUUCGUAGAUAUUCGCAAGAACACCAGUGGCGAAGGCGGCUGACUGGUCCGGUUCUGACGCUGAGGCGCGAAAGCGUGGGGAGCAAACAGG